This 422-nucleotide ribosomal RNA is filed under the name uncultured bacterium. RNAcentral's name for it is "bacterial SSU rRNA". It matches the Rfam family "Bacterial small subunit ribosomal RNA", at positions 355 to 774 of the family's 1533-position model. The record is from RNAcentral.
UGAGGAAUAUUGGUCAAUGGGCGGGAGCCUGAACCAGCCAAGUCGCGUGAAGGAAGAAGGAUCUAUGGUUCGUAAACUUCUUUUGCAGGGGAAUAAAGUGCAGGACGUGUCCUGUUUUGUAUGUACCCUGAGAAUAAGGAUCGGCUAACUCCGUGCCAGCAGCCGCGGUAAUACGGAGGAUCCGAGCGUUAUCCGGAUUUAUUGGGGUUAAAGGGUGCGUAGGUGGCUUGAUAAGUCAGCGGUGAAAGUUUGCAGCUUAACUGUAAAAAUGCCGUUGAAACUGUCGGACUUGAGUGUAAAUGAGGUAGGCGGAAUGCGUGGUGUAGCGGUGAAAUGCAUAGAUAUCACGCAGAACUCCGAUUGCGAAGGCAGCUUACUAAGCUACAGCUGACACUGAAGCACGAAAGCGUGGGGAUCAAACA